UACGGAGGAUGCGAGCGUUAUCCGGAUUUAUUGGGUUUAAAGGGUGCGCAGGCGGAAUAUCAAGUCAGCGGUAAAAUGUCGGGGCUCAACCCCGGCCGGCCGUUGAAACUGGCGUGCUCGAGUUGGAGAGAAGUAUGCGGAAUUCGUGGUGUAGCGGUGAAAUGCAUAGAUAUCACGAAGAACCCCGAUUGCGCAGGCAGCUUGCUAAUCCGCAUCUGACGCUGAUGCACGAAAGCGUGGGUAGCGAACAGG
RNAcentral lists this ribosomal RNA (252 nucleotides) under uncultured Bacteroidales bacterium. RNAcentral's name for it is "partial 16S ribosomal RNA". It matches the Rfam family "Bacterial small subunit ribosomal RNA", at positions 524 to 776 of the family's 1533-position model. Lineage: Bacteria; Pseudomonadati; Bacteroidota; Bacteroidia; Bacteroidales. The record is from RNAcentral.